This 371-nucleotide long non-coding RNA is filed under the name Brachypodium distachyon (stiff brome). RNAcentral describes it as "long non-coding RNA (BDIS_LNC005341)". The record is from RNAcentral. Lineage: Eukaryota; Viridiplantae; Streptophyta; Magnoliopsida; Poales; Poaceae.
CUUGUCGGCGAGCUCCUCUAUAUCCAGUGCCUCACUCUUGACAUUCCUACCAGGGUUUGGGUCACUUUCCCCAUACCCUGCUCUAUCAAAUGCAACUAGGUAAAUUCCCAGGUCGUCCACGAGCUCCUGAAUUAUAGCAAAGAAAGAAACCCUUUAAGUAAAAUAAGGAAGAAACAAACCAAGUGUCCACUUUUCAGUAGAUUUCAAUCUAAUUGUACUGAGCUCUCUGCCUUUACCUUUGAGACAGGUGAGGGGAAGUCCUUGGUGCUAUCAAAUGCAUGGACUGUGAUAAUCUUGUACUUGGCCUUGUCCCUCUGCACUCCGUCUUCCCGGUACGCAAGGUACCUUCCAUCCCUGAGCUUGAUCCUGGG